UAUAAUACGUAUGCUAGCUGGAGUAAUUCAAUUUUUAAUGUUAUUCGAACAGUAAUAAAUUCUACAGCAUCGAAAUUAUUGAACGGGUAAUCUUCAGUCGGAAUUACAUUUGUGCGGUAGGUGAAAAGACCUAGCAAUUACGAGGGAUAAUCGCUAUUGAGUUUAUCGCGUCAACGGAGUGGUAAAAGGAGUGGAAAAGUGCUCUUGGACGCCAUAUUCAUUUUGGAGCACUGUCAAGUAUUUCCCCUUGCAUUUUCGAAAUAAUAAUUAUGCAAUUUCGAUUGUGUCAAUUGUAACAAUCUUCCUCAUAUCGUUGAACUUUGCGGAAAUCGCUGUACAUUCAAAGGGGAAAGGAGUUUUGAAGCAGUGGGCUGUCUCAUGGAAUGAGGAGCGAAGGAUUUAUAACGAAUCUCGAAGGGCCAGACUUUUACAAACUCUCGCACUGAAGAAAAUAUCAAGGACUAUGGACCGUCACCACCUCUCUUGUAUCAAUACAUUCGAAAAUAAAAUCUUGAUAAUCGACUGGAAAGAAGUUAGAAAGAAAAAAGUUGAAUCGUUCAAGGUCAGCUGGAUGAAUGAUGGUUGGGGGUAUUAUUUAUUAAUGUACACAUUGAUAAUAGAUUUAGGCUCCAGAUACGUGCACUUAUGUAAGUGAAUUUAUAUGGAUGAAUUUUUACUCGUCAUUGACUCGUCAAUGUAAUGAGUCCUUUGAUUGGCAUGGGCAUUUUAUGUUUAAUCUCAUUAUUAAAUAAAAAAAUUUCUUU
Diachasma alloeum is the source of this 764-nucleotide long non-coding RNA. RefSeq lists it as uncharacterized. The record is from RefSeq and is a predicted model, not a curated record. Lineage: Eukaryota; Metazoa; Arthropoda; Insecta; Hymenoptera; Braconidae. The transcript is spliced from 3 exons.